UGGUGGUGGUUUACAAAGUAAUUCA
RNAcentral lists this microRNA (25 nucleotides) under Equus caballus (horse). RNAcentral describes it as "eca-miR-876-3p". Its record names the gene eca-miR-876-3p. The record is from miRBase by way of RNAcentral. Lineage: Eukaryota; Metazoa; Chordata; Mammalia; Perissodactyla; Equidae.